GGUCCCAUCGUCUAGUGGUUAGGACUCAAGAUUUUCAUUCUUGCAACAUGGGUUCGAGUCCCGUUGGGAUCACCA
This 75-nucleotide transfer RNA is filed under the name Alphaproteobacteria bacterium. RNAcentral's name for it is "tRNA-Glu". It matches the Rfam family "tRNA". Rfam says of the family: Transfer RNA (tRNA) molecules are approximately 80 nucleotides in length. Their secondary structure includes four short double-helical elements and three loops (D, anti-codon, and T loops). The record is from RNAcentral. Lineage: Bacteria; Pseudomonadati; Pseudomonadota; Alphaproteobacteria.